AGAUGGCGACCGGCGCACGGGUGAGUAACACGUAUCCAACCUGCCGAUAACUCGGGGAUAGCCUUUCGAAAGAAAGAUUAAUACCCGAUGGUAUAAUCAGACCGCAUGGUUUGAUUAUUAAAAAAUUUCGGUUAUCGAUGGGGAUGCGUUCCAUUAGGCAGUUGGUGAGGUAACGGCUCACCAAACCUUCGAUGGAUAGGGGUUCUGAGAGGAAGGUCCCCCACAUUGGAACUGAGACACGGUCCAA
RNAcentral lists this ribosomal RNA (247 nucleotides) under uncultured bacterium. RNAcentral describes it as "partial 16S ribosomal RNA". It matches the Rfam family "Bacterial small subunit ribosomal RNA", at positions 86 to 334 of the family's 1533-position model. The record is from RNAcentral.